CGGGGGAGGCCGGAUCCUGGGUGUGUCCCGGCGCCCUGUGCUCCGGGGCCUGAGCUGGUGGAGUCGCGCUCCCGCCCCGCAGCCCCUU
Molecule: microRNA precursor, 88 nt
Filed under: Canis lupus dingo (dingo)
Lineage: Eukaryota; Metazoa; Chordata; Mammalia; Carnivora; Canidae
Description: mir-8799 microRNA precursor family
Rfam family: mir-8799 microRNA precursor family
Source: Rfam by way of RNAcentral